RNAcentral lists this non-coding RNA (91 nucleotides) under unclassified sequences. RNAcentral describes it as "Li+-II sequence". It matches the Rfam family "nhaA-II RNA". The record is from RNAcentral.
AUCAGGCCGGACCUCGUCCGCGCCAGGCCGGCGCCGCCGCAUCACGGGAAGGUGAAUCCGGUCCGACGCCCGUCGAUAACCUGGCGUCACG